AGGCCCCCGAAACCUUCCCCUGGUCCCCACGCCCGCGCGAGCGCUACCUCUCUCGCCGCCUGCGCCGCCGCCUUCUCCCCCCAAGCUUCGGCUCCAGCAAGAUAGCCCGGCCGAUUCUCGCAGCCCCCCAAAAGCCGGCACGCCGACGGCCUUCGUCCUCUAGCGCCGGCGCGUCGCCGCGAUCCCCGCCGGCACGGGCGCCUAUUCCCCCCUUGCUCCUGCUCCCCGCUCGCGCCGCCGUUGCCGCGCGCCUCCAUGAACUUCUCCGACGACUGGCGCUUCCUCUUCCCCGUCUCCUCCGUGUUCAACCCGCCGUCCCUCGCCCCGCCGGACGCCUCCCACGGGCCCCUCUUCUUCACCCCUCUCCCCCCCCCCCCCCCCCCCCCCCCCCCCCCCCUCCCCCUCCCCCCCCCCCUGCACCCCUCCACCACCGGCGACCUCCGCCACGCCCUCCGCUGCUUCAUCGCCUCCACCUCCUUCCUCCCCUACUCCGAUCUCAAGUCCCUCUCGGGACCCCUCCUCGCCGCGCCGUCGCCGCCGUUCCCACCACCUUCCAAUCUUCUCGCCGUCCUCCCCUCCCGCUCCUCAAGCUCUCUCGUCCUCUUUUUCCCGUACGGCGAGAAUGCGGAGAAGAUUGCUUUCGCUCUUGUGAACUCCCCCGUUGCGAGCUCUGCGCCCGUUUCGCCCUUCGUUCAGAGGGAUGGGUUCAAGCACCCUGGGCACCGCAUACAGCAGCUUGCUGCUAUUCCUGCCCAGUCGUCCUGGUCAUCGGAGCCGGAUGACAGCUGUGUCGAGGGUUUCCUGCUUGCUGCGACAUUGUACUCAGUGAGUUGGUUCAGGGUCGAGUCACGCGAUUCGGGUUCCCCGGUGCUUGUACCGGUGGCCAAGCAGGGGUUUGAUGCUGCUGUCGUGCACGCGUGCUGGAGCAGGCAUUUUCCGUCACAAUGUGCGGUGCUGCUGGAGAGUGGGGAGUUGUGUUGGUUUGAUCUGAAUACACAACUUGGAGGAAAGACGAGCGUUGGUUUUGGCAGCAAUGGUGAAGACUGGGGGGACUGGCUGAGCUGUGCGUAUGGAGCGCAACCGUGGAUGGUGAUCGUCGCAAGCACAAAAGCCGUCCUUUUGGUUGAUUUGAGCUUUGUAUAUCAUGGUGACAAAUACGCCGUGGAAAACGAGCCACACAAGUUUCAGUACAAGGUUCUAGCAAAAAUUGGGUUGCCAGGGUUGUUUGAAACUGAGCCUUUUGACAGGACUGAGCAUUAUAUUGCAUUCUGCAAGGCUGGGUUCGAUGAUUCCCAUAUAUCAGUAGUGACAGAGCGUCACUUGAUUCUCCUUGAUGUGACAAAGCCGUUGGAACCUGUGUUGGCUUGGCAGCAUGGGCUUGAGAACCCAAAUCAUGUUGCCAUGUUUCGGCUAUCUGAAUUGAGACCUUCCAAGGAAUAUGAAUGGGCUUCAAAUUCAGGUUUUGCCAUUUUGGUUGGUUCGUUCUGGAAUGGGGAGUUCAGUUUGUUCUGUUACGGGCCUAAGGAGCAAGGUUGUCUAGAUAAUUCUCAUUUAUACGCUUGGGAUAUUCCUUCGAGGCUUUCUCUGACAGGUCAGCAUUGUGGCUGCAGCAAUGGAAUCAUGAAAGAGAUAUUCUCAACGCCUGUUUCAGUAUAUGAUGGGUAUGCUUCCCAACACCGCGCUAAGUCCAUUGUUGGUUACUAUGUGCUUCCAGAUGACCUCUCAAUAUCGGAGCCAACAUCUGCCAGCUUUGCCUUGAUCCGGCUAACAGCAUUGGGGAAGUUGGAAAUGCAACAGUAUCGUGCAUCUCGAGGUCUGCAUGAUGAAAUUGACACCCCAUGUGAUGAAUCAGAACAUGCAUCCAUGGAUAGUAGUUCAUCCAUUUUGAUUGACACUCAAGGUGAAAAUGUCUCCACCAAAUAUCGAUUCUUGAAGUUGCAUUUCCUAUAUGAACAUCUGAAGGGCAAUCUAUGCAGUGCGUUGGCGAAGCAUGGUACUAGUGUUAACGGAGACAGAGAUCAAAUUAUUAUUAGUGAAGAUGUGUUGGCAUUUGCAGAGGAUAACUCUAGAUCCAGCUCGCUGCCAGUUUCAGAUUUCCUAUGUAAUGCUAGCAUCCCCAUGAAUGUUUUCGAAAUUGCAUGUCAGAGCAUAUUGAACAGUCUACCUUCAAAUAUUCUUCAUGUCUCCCUUUCUAAAUACAAGGACAUGCUAAAAUGCGAUACAAAAGAAGGCUUAGUAGAAUAUUUAAAAGUUCCUAGCUGUUCGCCACACAAUGAACUUCGGCCUUUCCUGUUAGCGAAACCAUCAAGCACAUGUGAGAAGGUGACUAGCAAAGCGGUAUCUCAAAAUGCUCUUGUUGGGCCAGUGCUCCCUGUGCAUGUCCUACUUGCAAUGGAAGAGAUGAACAGGGGCAUAGACAGCUCUUCGGAAAGAGAAACUGCAGAAACUGACUUAGUACGCCAUCGAUGUAGUGAGGUGCUUGAAGCCUUUGUUCCUGAAGUAUCCAUUGCUGAGUCCGACAACUUUGAUGGAUGGUUCUCCUCACAAAAGUUGAAUGACAAGAAGUCAUAUCUUGUUUAUGAGCCUCGGAUUGAAAAUAAGUUUACUCUUGAUGAAACUGUUAUAAAGAAGGAAAACGAAGAGCAAAAGGCCGCUGAUCGUACAUCUUUUGAAACGUCUGCAGCACCAUACAAGGAUGAGAACUUCAUGACAUUUGUCUGUGGAAAAGCUGGAACUCUUGAUUCUGGGCCUGAACAAACCACAUCUGAUUUGUUUGAUUUCACCCCAGUGAGGAUGGAUUUUGCUUCCGCAGAUCUAGACAUUCAACCUGCCGAGGAAGAAGUGUACAGAUGCUUGAAGAAACAAUUUUUAAGAUGGCAAAAUAAUUUCAAGCCAUACCAAGAUUUUUGUAACUCAUAUAAAAUACAAAAGCCAUCAUGAUGGCCUGCAGUGCUCCAUUCAGUUGUAGCAGGUACUUGGCCUGGUAUAGACAUACAGUGCUGUUUGCGUAUUGCAAACACUUCUUGGGAGUAAGAUGUGGUGGGCGGCGCUGUAAAUUAUGAAGGCGUAGGGUUCGAAUAACUUGGUUUAAAAUAGUAUACUAUUUUGUUAAACUUUCUGCCAUGUUAUUUUUGACAAUGUGCAUGUUAAGAUACAAUUUUGUAACUGACAAGGAUUGCAAUAGACCUCCUUUUCAAUUACAGUUUUUAACUUCACUUUGACUGUUAGCACAACUCAUGUGACCCUGAGAAAAUUUGCAGCCAUCACUUUGUUCCUUUGGAGUUUGAACACAUGCUUAUAUUCAGAUACUGUGUAGCAUUAACCAGGGCCGUAGUUAACCUGUUCUAUUUUCAGUGCUCAAACAUUUUCUUUUGUUUUUUACAGCACCUAUUAUAUUGACAGGAUUUGCCACCUGGAGGUGCAUUUAACGGGAAUUUCACGCACUUGAUGUUAAGCAUUGGUGCGCCAUUUAUAGACCGUGGUAGCAAGGCAGCAAGAGUCCAAGCCAUAUUGGGGCAUUACAUAGGCGACAAGGAGGGAGUGUGAUUGCAUCAAAAGUUCAACAUUUUGCUGAGUGACAACUACGAGCAUUAGCGCGGGCGUUCUUUUCUUUUCUUCUUCUUUGUUGAGAGAAAUCGUGUGGCAGUUGUAACCUAACCAGAUACGUGCACUCAUAAAAAAAAACUGUCUCACACGAGUUUUUCUUCAUUUCAGUUGAGCCAAAACCUGCCAUUUGGGCAAAGUUUUUCGGCUGAAAUCUUAGUUUGCUAUGGGCUGCAACGAUAGUGGCGUGUUUGCCUGUUGAACUGUGCAGUGAAGUGUACAUAUUUUCUCUUGAGCAGGGACCAUUGUAUGUCAUGAUUCUGAAGCUUCAUGCUGAUGGAUGAAAGCAAAUCCAGUCACACGAUGGCCUCGUGAUUAAUGGUA
Molecule: non-coding RNA, 3927 nt
Organism: Triticum urartu
Lineage: Eukaryota; Viridiplantae; Streptophyta; Magnoliopsida; Poales; Poaceae
Source: RefSeq, a predicted model, not a curated record